GUCUACAGCCAUGCCACCCUGAACAAGCCCGAUGUCUGAUCUCGGAAGCUAAGCAGGGUCGGGCCUGGUUAGUAUUUGGAUGGGAGACCACCUAAGGAGACGAGGUGCUGUAGGCA
RNAcentral lists this ribosomal RNA (116 nucleotides) under Pteropus alecto (black flying fox). Lineage: Eukaryota; Metazoa; Chordata; Mammalia; Chiroptera; Pteropodidae. The record is from RNAcentral.